RNAcentral lists this long non-coding RNA (328 nucleotides) under Brassica rapa (field mustard). Its description in RNAcentral is "long non-coding RNA (BRAP_LNC003818)". Lineage: Eukaryota; Viridiplantae; Streptophyta; Magnoliopsida; Brassicales; Brassicaceae. The record is from RNAcentral.
ACAACAGCAAAAAAAAAGGGUUGGAAAUUACAAAAUGUAUUUUCUGUAUGUCUGUUACAGUUGUGCUACAAAACAAAAAAAAAACAAAAAAAGAUUUAGUACCGAUCAUUAUUUAACUGGUUAUAUUUCAGAGAAAAAAUGAAGUCUUUGGUGGUCCUGAAUAUUGAUCACUACCUAUUGUUUCUAAAUUGCAUAUUUGCAUUUGAAAUGUAUUGUUUGUAUUUACAUACUUGUAUUCAUAUAAUGAUAUAAGUAUAAUUGUUCUAAUUGGUUUGAAGUAGAAGUGGAAGUAUGUGCUUCCAGCCUCAAUAUUAUAAUUAAAGUUUCG